RNAcentral lists this ribosomal RNA (876 nucleotides) under Psychromonas arctica. RNAcentral's name for it is "bacterial SSU rRNA". It matches the Rfam family "Bacterial small subunit ribosomal RNA", at positions 78 to 950 of the family's 1533-position model. Lineage: Bacteria; Pseudomonadati; Pseudomonadota; Gammaproteobacteria; Alteromonadales; Psychromonadaceae. The record is from RNAcentral.
UGCUAUUUUGCUGACGAGUGGCGGACGGGUGAGUAAUGCUUGGGAAUAUGCCUUAUGGUGGGGGACAACAGUUGGAAACGACUGCUAAUACCGCAUAACAUCUCCGGAUCAAAGUGGGGGACCUUCGGGCCUCACGCCAUAAGAGUAGCCCAAGUGGGAUUAGCUAGUUGGUAAGGUAAUGGCUUACCAAGGCGACGAUCCCUAGUUGGUCUUAGAGGAUGACCAGCCACACUGGAACUGAGACACGGUCCAGACUCCUACGGGAGGCAGCAGUGGGGAAUAUUGCACAAUGGGCGCAAGCCUGAUGCAGCCAUGCCGCGUGUGUGAAGAAGGCUUUCGGGUUGUAAAGCACUUUCAGCGAGGAGGAAAGGUUGUACUUUAAUAGAGUGCAGCUGUGACGUUACUCGCAGAAGAAGCACCGGCUAACUCCGUGCCAGCAGCCGCGGUAAUACGGAGGGUGCGAGCGUUAAUCGGAAUUACUGGGCGUAAAGCGCGCGUAGGCGGUUAAUUAAGUCAGAUGUGAAAUCCCAGGGCUCAACCUUGGAACUGCAUUUGAAACUGGUUAACUAGAGUUUUGUAGAGGGUGGUAGAAUUUCAGGUGUAGCGGUGAAAUGCGUAGAGAUCUGAAGGAAUACCAGUGGCGAAGGCGGCCACCUGGACAAAGACUGACGCUGAGGCGCGAAGGCGUGGGGAGCAAACGGGAUUAGAUACCCCGGUAGUCCACGCAGUAAACGAUGUCUAUUAGAAUUUUGUGGCUAUAUGCCGUGGGAUUCAAAGCUAACGCAUUAAAUAGACCGCCUGGGGAGUACGGCCGCAAGGUUAAAACUCAAAUGAAUUGACGGGGGCCCGCACAAGCGGUGGAGCAUGUGGUUUAAU